RNAcentral lists this ribosomal RNA (119 nucleotides) under Erpetoichthys calabaricus (reedfish). The record is from RNAcentral. Lineage: Eukaryota; Metazoa; Chordata; Cladistia; Polypteriformes; Polypteridae.
ACUUGCUGCCACACCAGUGUAAAAGCCCCCGAUCUCGUUUGAUCACGGAAGCUAAAUACGCUCAGGAUCGGCCAGUACUUGGAUGGGAGACCACCUGGGAACCCCGAGUGCUGUAAGCU